RNAcentral lists this ribosomal RNA (528 nucleotides) under Escherichia coli. RNAcentral describes it as "partial 23S ribosomal RNA". It matches the Rfam family "Bacterial large subunit ribosomal RNA", at positions 606 to 1134 of the family's 2925-position model. The record is from RNAcentral. Lineage: Bacteria; Pseudomonadati; Pseudomonadota; Gammaproteobacteria; Enterobacterales; Enterobacteriaceae.
UUUUGUAUAAUGGGUCAGCGACUUAUAUUCUGUAGCAAGGUUAACCGAAUAGGGGAGCCGAAGGGAAACCGAGUCUUAACUGGGCGUUAAGUUGCAGGGUAUAGACCCGAAACCCGGUGAUCUAGCCAUGGGCAGGUUGAAGGUUGGGUAACACUAACUGGAGGACCGAACCGACUAAUGUUGAAAAAUUAGCGGAUGACUUGUGGCUGGGGGUGAAAGGCCAAUCAAACCGGGAGAUAGCUGGUUCUCCCCGAAAGCUAUUUAGGUAGCGCCUCGUGAAUUCAUCUCCGGGGGUAGAGCACUGUUUCGGCAAGGGGGUCAUCCCGACUUACCAACCCGAUGCAAACUGCGAAUACCGGAGAAUGUUAUCACGGGAGACACACGGCGGGUGCUAACGUCCGUCGUGAAGAGGGAAACAACCCAGACCGCCAGCUAAGGUCCCAAAGUCAUGGUUAAGUGGGAAACGAUGUGGGAAGGCCCAGACAGCCAGGAUGUUGGCUUAGAAGCAGCCAUCAUUUAAAGAAAGCG